RNAcentral lists this ribosomal RNA (497 nucleotides) under uncultured bacterium. RNAcentral describes it as "partial 16S ribosomal RNA". It matches the Rfam family "Bacterial small subunit ribosomal RNA", at positions 28 to 507 of the family's 1533-position model. The record is from RNAcentral.
GAUGAACGCUGGCGGCGUGCCUAAUACAUGCAAGUCGAGCGAACAGAUGAGGAGCUUGCUCCUCUGACGUUAGCGGCGGACGGGUGAGUAACACGUGGAUAACCUACCUAUAAGACUGGGAUAACUUCGGGAAACCGGAGCUAAUACCGGAUAAUAUAUUGAACCGCAUGGUUCAAUAGUGAAAGACGGUUUUGCUGUCACUUAUAGAUGGAUCCGCGCCGCAUUAGCUAGUUGGUAAGGUAACGGCUUACCAAGGCAACGAUGCGUAGCCGACCUGAGAGGGUGAUCGGCCACACUGGAACUGAGACAAGGUCCAGACUCCUACGGGAGGCAGCAGUAGGGAAUCUUCCGCAAUGGGCGAAAGCUUGACGGAGCAACGCCGCGUGAGUGAUGAAGGUCUUCGGAUCGUAAAACUCUGUUAUUAGGGAAGAACAAAUGUGUAAGUAACUAUGCACGUCUUGACGGUACCUAAUCAGAAAGCCACGGCUAACUACGUG